UGUCGUCUUUUAACACCUGGUAGACGCCACCCGUGUCUCUCUUGCGUAUAUAUAGAGCUAGCACGCCUCCUACGUUUCAAUUUUGCUUAGAAACGCUCGCUCUCUUCUGCGGAAGUUUCCCCAGAGUCUCCAGCGACAGCAACCUCCGGUUUUAGUAUUCUGUGGUGGCUUCUUAACUUCAAAAAUGCCUAAAGUUAGAAGAGAUAGUUCCUUGUCUCUUGAUCGAUCUAGGGCAUCUCCUUAUCCGUGCACCUCUGAUGAUUCUGAUGCUUACAAUCUGAAAAAUCCUUUGGAAAGCGAAGAUAACGCAAAAGAGUGGGAAGAAGCUAGGUGCCCCAUCUGCAUGGAA
Pyrus x bretschneideri (Chinese white pear) is the source of this 349-nucleotide long non-coding RNA. RefSeq lists it as uncharacterized. The transcript has 2 exons. The record is from RefSeq and is a predicted model, not a curated record. Lineage: Eukaryota; Viridiplantae; Streptophyta; Magnoliopsida; Rosales; Rosaceae.